Molecule: long non-coding RNA, 358 nt
Filed under: Vigna radiata
Lineage: Eukaryota; Viridiplantae; Streptophyta; Magnoliopsida; Fabales; Fabaceae
Description: long non-coding RNA (VRAD_LNC013622)
Source: RNAcentral
AUUUAGAUGUCGCGAUAAAUCACUGGAUAGACUCUUUACUUAUGGUUUUCAGGUGUCUCUGUUGCAAUUGAAUUGUGGGGGGAUUGUGAAUUUGGGUUUUAUUUGUGGGGAGGAGAGGGAAAGGGGGAGGAAGAAGGAGACGACGGCGCAAGUGGAAGAUGAAUCUUAUGUGUCAACAAUUUUUUUUCUUAAAUUUAAAAUUAACAUGAUAUAUUACUUAUCGUGCCACGUAAGAUUGAAUACCGUUAGAUAAUUGACGUCGUUACGGAAAAGGAUUAACUUGAACUGAUUUUUCAAAAAAUGGAAUCAAUUGUUACGGACAAAAAAAAAGGUAGGACCAUUUUGAACACAACCCCCC